RNAcentral lists this ribosomal RNA (266 nucleotides) under uncultured bacterium. Its description in RNAcentral is "partial 16S ribosomal RNA". It matches the Rfam family "Bacterial small subunit ribosomal RNA", at positions 524 to 784 of the family's 1533-position model. The record is from RNAcentral.
UACGUAGGGCGCAAGCGUUGUCCGGAAUUAUUGGGCGUAAAGAGCUCGUAGGCGGCCUGUUGCGUCCGCUGUGAAAACCCCGGGGCUUAACCCCCGGGCUUGCAGUGGAUACGGGCAGGCUGGAGGCAGGCAGGGGGAGAACGGGAAUUCCCGGUGUAGCGGUGAAAUGCGCAGAUAUCGGGAGGAACGACCGGUGGCGAAGGCGGUUCUCUGGGCCUGUACUGACGCUGAGGAGCGAAAGCGUGGGGAGCGAACAGGAUUGAGAA